Molecule: ribosomal RNA, 446 nt
Filed under: uncultured bacterium
Lineage: Bacteria
Description: bacterial SSU rRNA
Rfam family: Bacterial small subunit ribosomal RNA
Source: RNAcentral
UCCAGACUCCUACGGGAGGCAGCAGUAGGGAAUAUUGCUCAAUGGGGGAAACCCUGAAGCAGCAACGCCGCGUGGAGGAUGAAGGUUUUAGGAUUGUAAACUCCUUUUGUUAGAGAAGAUUAUGACGGUAUCUAACGAAUAAGCACCGGCUAACUCCGUGCCAGCAGCCGCGGUAAUACGGAGGGUGCAAGCGUUAUCCGGAUUUAUUGGGUUUAAAGGGUGCGCAGGCGGAAGAUCAAGUCAGCGGUAAAAUGGAGAGGCUCAACCUCUGCGAGCCGUUGAAACUGGUUUUCUCGAGUGAGCGAGAAGUAUGCGGAAUGCGUGGUGUAGCGGUGAAAUGCAUAGAUAUCACGCAGAACUCCGAUUGCGAAGGCAGCAUACCGGCGCUCAACUGACGCUCAUGCACGAAAGUGUGGGUAUCGAACAGGAUUAGAUACCCCCGUACA